GGCUUCGUAGUUCAACUGGUAGAGCGCUUGCCGCGUUAAGGCAUGCUGUUCCUGUCGCUGGUUCGAAUCCAGCUGAAGCCU
This 81-nucleotide transfer RNA is filed under the name Paragonimus westermani. RNAcentral describes it as "tRNA-Asn". It matches the Rfam family "tRNA". Rfam says of the family: Transfer RNA (tRNA) molecules are approximately 80 nucleotides in length. Their secondary structure includes four short double-helical elements and three loops (D, anti-codon, and T loops). Further hydrogen bonds mediate the characteristic L-shaped molecular structure. tRNAs have two regions of fundamental functional importance: the anti-codon, which is responsible for specific mRNA codon recognition, and the 3' end, to which the tRNAs corresponding amino acid is attached (by aminoacyl-tRNA synthetases). tRNAs cope with the degeneracy of the genetic code in two manners: having more than one tRNA (with a specific anti-codon) for a particular amino acid; and 'wobble' base-pairing, i.e. permitting non-standard base-pairing at the 3rd anti-codon position. Lineage: Eukaryota; Metazoa; Platyhelminthes; Trematoda; Plagiorchiida; Troglotrematidae. The record is from RNAcentral.